This 77-nucleotide transfer RNA is filed under the name Actinobacteria bacterium ADurb.Bin346. RNAcentral's name for it is "tRNA-Arg". It matches the Rfam family "tRNA". From Rfam's summary of the family: Transfer RNA (tRNA) molecules are approximately 80 nucleotides in length. Lineage: Bacteria; Bacillati; Actinomycetota. RNAcentral also lists the same sequence under 2 other names. The record is from RNAcentral.
GCGCCUGUAGCUCAGUUGGAUAGAGCGUCGGACUUCGAAUCCGUGCGUCGGGGGUUCGAAUCCCUCCAGGCGUGCCA